Molecule: ribosomal RNA, 505 nt
Filed under: uncultured bacterium
Lineage: Bacteria
Description: partial 16S ribosomal RNA
Rfam family: Bacterial small subunit ribosomal RNA
Source: RNAcentral
GACGAACGCUGGCGGCGUGCCUAAUACAUGCAAGUAGAACGCACAGUUUAUACCUUGGCUUGCUACACCAUACACUGUGAGUUGCGAACGGGUGAGUAACGCGUAGGUAACCGGCCUGGUAGCGGGUGAUAACUAUUGGAAACGAGAGCUAAUACCGCAUAAUAUUAAUUAUUGCAUGAUAAUUUAUUGAAAGAUGCAAUUGCAUCGCUACCAGAUGGACCUGCGUUGUAUUAGCUAGUAGGUGAGGUAACGGCUCACCUAGGCGACGAUACAUAGCCGGCCUGGGAGGGGGAACGGCCACACUGGGACUGGGACACGGGCCAGACUCCUACGGGAGGGAGCAGUAGGGAAACUUCGGCAAUGGGCGAAAGUCUGAACGAGCAAAGGCGCGUGAGUGAAGAAGGUUUUCGGAUCGUAAAGCUCUGUUGUACGGGAAGAAAGGGCGUGGGAGUGGAACGUUCACGCUGUGACGGUAUCUUACCAGAAAGGGACGGCUAACUACGUG